Chelonoidis abingdonii (Abingdon island giant tortoise) is the source of this 162-nucleotide small nuclear RNA. Its record names the gene U1. It matches the Rfam family "U1 spliceosomal RNA". From Rfam's summary of the family: U1 is a small nuclear RNA (snRNA) component of the spliceosome (involved in pre-mRNA splicing). Its 5' end forms complementary base pairs with the 5' splice junction, thus defining the 5' donor site of an intron. The record is from Ensembl. NCBI's taxonomy places the organism in Eukaryota, Metazoa, Chordata, Testudines, Testudinidae.
AUAAUUACUUGGCAAGGGAUACCAUGAUCAUGAAGGUGGUUUUCCCAUAGGGAGACUCAUUCAUUGCACUGUGGGUGUGCUGACCCCUGCUAUUUCCCCAAAUGCUGGAAACUCAACUGCAUAAUUUAUGGUGGUUGGGGACUGCAUUUGUGCUUUCCCCUG